This 87-nucleotide non-coding RNA is filed under the name Pseudomonas baetica. The record is from RNAcentral. Lineage: Bacteria; Pseudomonadati; Pseudomonadota; Gammaproteobacteria; Pseudomonadales; Pseudomonadaceae.
UGUUAUGGCGGCUGUGCGUGGGACGCCUUUAGGGCGUGCCGGUCUCCUUGACUCCCGGUUUCCAACCUGCGUACAGCUGCCACCCAU